RNAcentral lists this ribosomal RNA (301 nucleotides) under uncultured bacterium. RNAcentral describes it as "partial 16S ribosomal RNA". It matches the Rfam family "Bacterial small subunit ribosomal RNA", at positions 509 to 809 of the family's 1533-position model. The record is from RNAcentral.
CAGUCGCCGCGGGAAAACGUAGGGCGCAAGCGUUGUCCGGAAUUAUUGGGCGUAAAGAGCUCGUAGGCGGUUUGUCGCGUCUGCUGUGAAAUCCCGAGGCUCAACCUCGGGCUUGCAGUGGGUACGGGCAGACUAGAGUGCGGUAGGGGAGAUUGGAAUUCCUGGUGUAGCGGUGGAAUGCGCAGAUAUCAGGAGGAACACCGAUGGCGAAGGCAGAUCUCUGGGCCGUAACUGACGCUGAGGAGCGAAAGCGUGGGGAGCGAACAGGAUUAGAUACCCCUGUAGUCCCUGUCUCUUAUAA